Molecule: long non-coding RNA, 227 nt
Filed under: Nicotiana benthamiana
Lineage: Eukaryota; Viridiplantae; Streptophyta; Magnoliopsida; Solanales; Solanaceae
Description: long non-coding RNA (NBEN_LNC025024)
Source: RNAcentral
UUUCAAACUUUUUAAUGACUAUCAAUGGUGGAAAAUAUAUGGAGAAGGAGAGAAUUACGCUGCAAUAAAUUUUCUACCGUUUUAAAUUUCGAAAUUAAUGGUGAUUUUUUUAGCAGAUAACACUAGUAUUACCUGGAAAAACAUGCACUUGGCAAAAAUGUCUACAAUAUCACUAAUUUCAAAAUCUUCAUGGAACAUAGAUCGGGAGCUUUUAAUCACAAGUCCUC